Molecule: small RNA, 2719 nt
Filed under: Arabidopsis thaliana (thale cress)
Lineage: Eukaryota; Viridiplantae; Streptophyta; Magnoliopsida; Brassicales; Brassicaceae
Description: ATSL149290
Source: RNAcentral
UUUUUUUUUUAAAAAAAUAAUCAUUAAAAAACAAAAAAAUUAGUAUUGAAAUGGAGUAUAUACCACGAUAUUGGGCUGGUAACUUUUUCGGGUGAGUAUUGUACUGGAUUGAUUAUUCAACAAGGUGAAUGGGCUUUUACCUUGAAUCUAUGACCAGCAGAAGUACUACGAUUUGGUAAACAGCACAAGUACUACGGAAACAACAUGUGAUGUUUUAAAAUCACAAUAAUCAUAUCGGAGCAACUUGGAAAGAAAACAUAAGAGAAAAUUAUUAGAAAAAUUCCCGGAUGUGACAAUAAAAAGCGCGAGCAAAGAGAGAUGGAGAUACGUAUCAGACGCAUUUAAUGCGGCGUCAGAGGAUAUACAGCUUCCAACGUAAUAUAUUGUUGUAUGUGUAAACCCUUUUCUUUAGUGUAGCACUUUUUAACACAAGGUUUGUGUGCUUAUGCUAUACGCUACAAAAUGGCAGGUCGAUAAGUUGACACGUUGGUCAAUGACGUCAAGAUUACGAAUAGGCAAGUGGGGGCAGAAGAUAUACUGAAUCUAUACCUCGGUUCACGGAAAUGUGUAAAGCAAAGACUAAGUAAAUCACAUGGUUAUUUUGACGAUAACAUGCAAUACAAAUAAAGAACACUUAACACUUCGAUUUGACAUUGGUUAAUUGUGUAAAGCAAGGUUUGUGUGCUUAUGCUAUACGCUACAGAAUGGCAGGUCGUUAAGUUGACACGUUGGUCAAUGACGUCAAGAUUACGAAUAGGCAAGUGGGGGCAGAAGAUAUACUACCUCGGUUCACGAAAAUGUGUAAAGCAAAGACUAAGUAAAUCACCUGGUUAUUUUGACGAUAACAUGCAAUACAAAUAAAGAACACUUAACACUUCGAUUUGACAUUGGUUAAUUGUGUAAAGCAAGGUUUGUGUGCUUAUGCUAUACGCUACAGAAUGGCAGGUCGUUAAGUUGACACGUUGGUCAAUGACGUCAAGAUUACGAAUAGGCAAGUGGGGGCAGAAGAUAUACUACCUCGGUUCACGAAAAUGUGUAAAGCAAAGACUAAGUAAAUCACCUGGUUAUUUUGACGAUAACAUGCAAUACAAAUAAAGAACGCUUACCACUUCGAUUUGACAUUCGUGAAUUGUCGCUUCACGCCUCCCUCGGGUGUUGGGAGGGAAAUCAUACCGUUUUGAAAUUCGCGUGGCUGCAAAUGGUUAAGCAACUGUUACUAGAAAUAUCUUUAGUUACUGUAGCCCUAAAAAACAAAGUUAACCUUUUCUAUAAAAGAAGAAAGAUGGCAAGAUAUCAUCUCUCACACCUCUACUUCUUCCUAUAAAGCACACACUACGUAUCCAACAACAUCGAAGAACUCGAUCAUUUCUGUUUUGGUAUGCAAUUAAUGAAUGUUCUUUUGGUCGGGUUUGUUGCUAUUUUUAAAAAACUCAUGGUUGAUUUAUCUCUAUUUAAUGCAACUCUAUUAAUGUGUAGGUACCGAUGGUGGUUAUAACCGAAAUAACCGACGAUCGUUAUGUCAGGACGGUGAGUGGCUCCUGGGCAAUCGGAGCUGAUGGAACAUGGUUAUUCAUAUCCAAUCACAAUAAUGCAGUGAGGAGGUUGAGCAUUGGGGAAGGGGAGAAGUUAGCAUCUGUGCGCCAGCUUGUUAGAGAAGCGUACGGACAGGAAUACGUUGAAGGCCCACUACACCUGACUUACCAAUGGCCUGAUUGGAUGGACAUGGAAACUACCUUUGGUGGGCGCACGAAGCCAGUAAGCAUAACUUCAGAGGAGACAAUGGGAGUGUUUCUAGCUAUGCGUUUUGAGUUGGAGGACUUGAGUUUGUUUGUCUCCAAGCAAACGGUGGAUGAUGGUUCCGAAGAUGGUGGAACAAGUCAGACUUCAAGUUACGGAUUUGCAGAUAAAGGCAAAUCACCUUUAUACGUCAACGCUGAACGAUCACCUAACUACGAGUCCGUUGUGUGGAAAAGGCUUAUGGAUGACGAGGCGGUCCUCCGCUGGAUGCGUUCAACGGAAACAGAAGGUCAAAACGUUGGAGACUCUUCUACCAACGUACAACAACACCCUGUGAGACCAGCUGUUGAGGCAGCUUCCCCGAUGUUAACGACUGAAAGUAUGGACACAGCGACUGAAGAUGGAGAUCAGGUAAAAUAUUCUGCGUUUAUUAAAUUCAGCCACUCGAAUAUACCAUUACAGUACUAAGACAUCUAUUUACGCAGGAAGAAGACUCAACUGUUGUUGAGGCAGAUUUACUUAAAAAUCUGGGGUUACCGUCAAUUAAUUUAGCCACUGAAUCUUACGACUCUCUCAGUGAAGGGGAAGCGUACAACGACGAAAACGACUAUCCCGGGGGCGAGACAAUUAAGGAGUGCAAUUUUUUUGGGCCUUCCGCAACUAACUUGGUGGAACCUCUAGGUGUACACUUGGAUCUCGCGGUACCUCUGCAUGAGGCUCUUGAAGACAUGUGCCUUAACUUCGCAUCUUUCAACAGGGAUGCAGCGCCAACCCUAGACGAACAAGGGGAAGAAGGUACCAAUUACAUAGCAUGUUGUUUUUAAGAACAACACAUAUUGCAAGAGUGUUCUAAUAAUAACCGUCAUAUAGAGUAACAUGUUAUUCGUAUAAAUACCAUGCAAUAAAAAUUUAAUUUCGCUGAAUUCCUGAUUAGUCGUACGAAUACAAUCUUAAUAUCCACAUCAUAUUUGUUUAGUUUAAA